CUCCUCGCGGCGCCUGGCGCUCACCUCGCCCCGUGUCCCGGCUCAGGCGCCCCCGCGUCGCACCCUUGGGGCCAGGCGCCCGCAGGCGCCAAAACAGGCCGCGUGUCCUGGCACCGCCGCUCGGGCUCCGCGCGCGCCCCCACCCCGCCCCGCAGCCUCCCGCGCCGCGCGAUCGCACCCGGCCGCACGUGCGCCCCUCCACGCCCCCCAACCCUGGGCUCCGCGCCCUCCCAACCCGCCUCCUGCCGGCUCUCUCGAGUUCCCGUAAACUUGUUUUGGGGCUUCAGGCCCAGGAGCCUUGCAGAGACCUUCCGAGCGGAGGGGGCGGCCCGCGAGCCCCAAGCGCUGUGGCCCAAGCUGGAGGGAGGUGCAGCGGGGGGCGCUCUGCCCGGGUCCACCGAGGCCUCCGCGCGCGGCGGGUGUGUCCCCGCGCAGCCCUGGAGCUGCAGCGCCCCCUCGGCCGAGCCGGAGGCUCCCGGGUGUCCGAGUCGGGUAGGGGGUGGGGUCGGGGCCCGCAGGUCCCCGGGGAGCGAAGGGAGGGACGGCGGCGGCCCGCGCCCCCACGGGUGUCAGAGUCGGGUUGGGGUGGGGUCGGGGCCCGCGGGUCCCGGCAGCGAAGGGAGGGGCGGCGGCACCUUUGUGGCGGAUGCUGCGCUUCCAGUCCUUGGCGGUCUCGCGGCCGCUGACGAACUGGAACUCGUUGGGCGUGAGCCACUCGCCGCGGUGGCGGAUGGACGGGCCCUUGCUGCCCUGGCAGAGUUUGCGCACGUAGAGCAGCGCGCGGUUGGCGCCGCACUCCACCUCGAUGCACGGCUCGCCGUUGUCCAGCAGCGGCUGGAAAUCCGGGGCCGCGGCCGCGGUGGCCGAGAAGCGCUCGAGGGCCAGCGGGUCCCUGGGCAGGUGCAAGUGCGGGGCGGCCUCGUGCAGGCUGAGGUAGGCGCGCGGGGGGCGGAGCGGCGGGGCCAGCAGAGCCUCGUAGCCGGCGGCCGAGGCGGGCAAAGAGGCGGCCGGGGGGAGGGCCGCCGCCGCGGGCAGUGGCGCCAGGUAGCCCGGCAGCGGCGGCAGCGGCAGCGCGGCCAGGGUCGGGUGGAACGUGGCCAGAGCCAGGGCCAGGUCCUCGCGGCCCGGGAACUCCUUCUUGACCGCCGGCAUGGCGCCCCGGUGGCUUCGCAGCCCCGCUCCCCGCCGGCGGCAGCAACUUACUCCGGCCCGGGCGGAGUUGGGUCGCGGGGGCCGGGGAGGCGCCUGGCCGCGCGCCCACCCCGUCCGCUACUGCGCCCCGGCGCCUGCAGCCGCCGCCUCCGCGCCGCCCGCCAGGCCUCCCCGGACUGCUGCCCAGACGGCCGGCGGGGCCUCGGCGGCCCGAGACAUGGAGCUGCCGGAGCCGCUACCGAUCCCGGAUCAACUCGCCGAGCGCCGCAGCUCCCGGGCCUUGGGGCUCCGCGGGGCGUCCGGAGUCCCGCGCCCCGGCCACCUGCGCCCGCGCCCGGGGAAGACCCGCGCCCGGCUCGCCGACCCACCCUCCAGGCCGAGCCCGGCAGCGAGGAGCCGCGGAGUCCCCGCCCCGCCCGGGGGUCCCAAGCCCCCGCCCCGCCGCCCGGGCCGCGUCAGCCGUGCACCCGCGUCCACUGGCGCGCGCCCGCCCGGCGGGGACUUGGGAGACUCCGCCGCCGCCGCCGCCGCCGCCACAACUUGGCCCAUUUAAACGGCCCCGGCGCGGCGGGCGGCGCGGGCUCCCGCGGGGGGUGCGUGACGGCCGACUCGGGGCAUCCGGCGGCGGCAGCGGGACGGGGCUGCGGCCCCCGGCGCUAUCCCGAGUACCGAGUCACUGGGACGGCUGGAAUCCGGGACUCCGCGCGGGACUGGGAUGGGCUGGGCCGGUCGCGGACCGGGCUCCUCUCGGAGGGAGGGAGCCGGGGGCUGCUCGCCGCGGUGUGA
This is a long non-coding RNA of Papio anubis (olive baboon), 1938 nucleotides long. The record is from Ensembl. NCBI's taxonomy places the organism in Eukaryota, Metazoa, Chordata, Mammalia, Primates, Cercopithecidae.